GCCUUCGUUGUGUAGUAGUCAACACGCUCGACCCAUAUUCGAGAAGUCCGCGGUUCGAGUCGCGGCGAGGGCA
Molecule: transfer RNA, 73 nt
Filed under: Stegodyphus mimosarum
Lineage: Eukaryota; Metazoa; Arthropoda; Arachnida; Araneae; Eresidae
Rfam family: tRNA
About the family: Transfer RNA (tRNA) molecules are approximately 80 nucleotides in length.
Source: Rfam by way of RNAcentral